This 686-nucleotide long non-coding RNA is filed under the name Mytilus galloprovincialis (Mediterranean mussel). Lineage: Eukaryota; Metazoa; Mollusca; Bivalvia; Mytilida; Mytilidae. The record is from RNAcentral.
GGUGAGGUAAGGUAAAAAUUAAGAAAUUAAGAAAUUAAAAUUGAUACUAUAAGCUGGUAGAGCAUCAAUUAAGGAUAAAGAUAAGCUAAAAAUAUUAAUAGGUCAUGGAGCUCCUUUUAUUCACAAUAUACUAAAAACCGGAGUGACAAAAAUUGGGAGAAAUUUAGAAAACAAAGAAAUUUGGUAACAAAGAUAAAGAGAAAAUCAAUAAAAGUAAACUUUUUAGAACGUUGCUCUGGUGGAUCAAAAUCUUGCGAUUUUUGGAAAACAGUCAAACCAUUUUUUCUCAAAAAAGGGGAACUGUGGAGAGCAAAAAAUUUUAUUAUGUGAAAAUGACAAAAUUGUUAAUUGUUCAAAUGAAGUUUCAAAUGUUUUUAAUAAUUUUUUCUCCACAGUAGCAGACAAAAUUGGAGCAGAUGUUGUAUAUGACCCCUAAAAUAACCCGAGUAUAAAAGAAAUUUUGGAUAACAGAAACCAUAAUUCAGAUUUUGAAUUUAAAAAAGUAUCAAAUGAUAAUGUCGAAAAAAAAUUUAAUAAAAUAAACAUAAAGAAGGCUACAGGAGCUGAUGGUUUUCCAGCAAAACUAGUUAAAAAUUGUAAAUCUUAUAUUGCACCACAGAUGACAACUCUUGUAAAUUUGUCAAUUCACAAUAAAUGUUUCCCCGAUUAACUUAAAGAAGCCCAAG